GCCCCAUCGCAUACAUGUCCGCCGGCACCAUCCUCGGCAAGGCGGCGUAGUAGGCCCCGCCGGGGUACGGGCCGGGGAACAUGUACAGCGGCUGGUCCCCACCACCGACAAUCGACGCGUAUCUGCUCCCGGCCGGCGCAACGCGCUGGUCCGGCCAGUAGGCCGGCGACAUCUGCGCCGGUGCAACCUUCUCCGGCGCCCUUGGCAUGUAGAAGUCCGCGGCGGCCGUCACCGCCGCUUGCUGGUUCUCAGCCGCGAUCUGAAGCUUCUGCAGAUCCUUGAUCUGCCUCUGGAUAUCAGCCACCGCCUCCGCCCCGAUCUGGCGCUCAUCCUUCACCGGCGCCUCCGACGGGAUAGGCUCCACGGCCACAGGCUCCGGUGCCGGAGCCA
RNAcentral lists this unclassified non-coding RNA (390 nucleotides) under Hevea brasiliensis (rubber tree). The record is from RNAcentral. Lineage: Eukaryota; Viridiplantae; Streptophyta; Magnoliopsida; Malpighiales; Euphorbiaceae.